UUUACAUUUUACACUAAAAGAGUCGUUAGAUUCGAUGUACUUAAAAUUAUAGCGUAACUAGAGAUGCAUAUAGUUGAAACUACCACUACAACAGAAUUAGGUUAUAGCGACACAUAUUUGGAACAUUUUUGAGUAAGUGUCUCAUUUAUGCUAAAACUUAAAAACACAUCUACUAAUGCCUAAAUAUAAAGCCCAAUCCAAUAAAAAAUAAAAGAUUACUCUACUCAACCCAAAACACCCAGUCCAUUUGGCCCGAUUACAAACAGAAAAAAAAAAAAAAGAAAAAUCAAUUACCAUCUUUUCUUCUCUCUUCACUCAAUCCACUGAAAUUCUAGAUGAAGAGCCUUUACUGUCGUCCUCCUCCGCCACCGCAGCCAACGAGAUAGAGUUUCGGCGAUUGCUAAAUGCUUAAAUAAGUGUUGGUAAAUUAGUAGCACUCUUUUAGGUUAUAGCGACACUCUUUAACUAUCACUAUAUACCUAGUGACCCCACAUAUAGCAACAAUUUUUAAAAGUGUUGGUAAUUUUAGCUAGCAGCAUUUUUUUGACAUGUACCUAUAUUUAAAAGUGUCCCUAUAGACCGUUUUUGUUGUAGUGUAUGUUCAACAAAACUGCUGUACAGUUCUAAACAAAACUGCUGUACAGUUGUACUUAAAAUUAUAACCUACAUGUAAUUAUAACUGCUGUACAGUUGUAACUACGUUCAACAAACAGCUCCUUGUGGAGUACCUAGCUAGUCCCUCAAAAUCUAUAGAAUACUAUUUUUUGA
Molecule: long non-coding RNA, 768 nt
Filed under: Ananas comosus (pineapple)
Lineage: Eukaryota; Viridiplantae; Streptophyta; Magnoliopsida; Poales; Bromeliaceae
Description: long non-coding RNA (ACOM_LNC004006)
Source: RNAcentral